RNAcentral lists this ribosomal RNA (600 nucleotides) under uncultured Actinomycetes bacterium. RNAcentral describes it as "bacterial SSU rRNA". It matches the Rfam family "Bacterial small subunit ribosomal RNA", at positions 252 to 866 of the family's 1533-position model. Lineage: Bacteria; Bacillati; Actinomycetota; Actinomycetes. The record is from RNAcentral.
GAGAGGUAACGGCUCACCAAGGCAUCGACGGGUAGCUGGUCUGAGAGGAUGAUCAGCCACACUGGGACUGAGACACGGUCCAGACUCCUACGGGAGGCAGCAGUGGGGAAUCUUGCACAAUGGGCGAAAGCCUGAUGCAGCGAUGCCGCGUGCGGGAAGAAGGCCUUAGGGUUGUAAACCGCUUUCAGGAGGGAAGAAAAUGACGGUACCUCCAGAAGAAGGUGCGGCCAACUACGUGCCAGCAGCCGCGGUGACACGUAGGCACCAAGCGUUAUCCGGAUUUAUUGGGCGUAAAGAGCUCGUAGGCGGUUUGGUAAGUCGGGUGUGAAAACUCUGGGCUCAACCCAGAGAGGCCACUCGAUACUGCUAUGACUAGAGUACGGUAGGGGAGCGGGGAAUUCCUGGUGUAGCGGUGAAAUGCGCAGAUAUCAGGAGGAACACCAGCGGCGAAGGCGCCGCUCUGGGCCGUAACUGACGCUGAGGAGCGAAAGCAUGGGUAGCAAACAGGAUUAGAUACCCUGGUAGUCCAUGCCGUAAACGUUGGGCACUAGGUGUGGGUCUCAACCAACGAGAUCCGCGCCGUCGCUAACGCAUUAAGUG